RNAcentral lists this ribosomal RNA (117 nucleotides) under Lepisosteus oculatus (spotted gar). The record is from RNAcentral. Lineage: Eukaryota; Metazoa; Chordata; Actinopteri; Semionotiformes; Lepisosteidae.
CCCAGCAGACAUAUCACCCUACAAUUCACAACUAGUAACCUACUGAAGCUCAGCAGGUGUGAGCCUGGUCAGUACCUGCAUGGGAGACCUCCUGGGAAAAAAAGGUUGCUGCUGUAU